CACCGUGUCACAGGUGCUGCAUGGCUGUCGUCAGCUCGUGUCGUGAGAUAGUUGGGUUAAGUCCCGCAACGAGCGCAACCCUUAUCCCCAGUUGCCAUCAGGUAAGCUGGGAACUCUGGGGAGACUGCCGGUGAUAAACCGGAGGAAGGCGGGGAUGACGUCAAGUCCUCAUGGCCCUUACAUCCCGGGCUACACACGUGCUACAAUGGCAGGUACAGAGGGCUGCAAAGCCGCGAGGUAGAGCGAAUCCCCAGAAAAACCCUGUCUCAGUCCGGAUUGAAGUCUGCAACUCGACUUCAUGAAGGCGGAAUCGCUAGUAACCGCGAAUCAGCAGGUCGCGGUGAAUACGUUCCCGGGCCUU
This 361-nucleotide ribosomal RNA is filed under the name uncultured Latescibacterota bacterium. Its description in RNAcentral is "bacterial SSU rRNA". It matches the Rfam family "Bacterial small subunit ribosomal RNA", at positions 1025 to 1382 of the family's 1533-position model. The record is from RNAcentral. Lineage: Bacteria; Pseudomonadati; Candidatus Latescibacterota.